GACGAACGCUGGCGGCGUGCUUAACACAUGCAAGUCGAACGGAAAGGCCCUGCGUUUGUGGGGUGCUCGAGUGGCGAACGGGUGAGUAACACGUGAGUAACCUGCCCUUGUCUUUGGGAUAACUUCAGGAAACUGGGGCUAAUACCGGAUAGGAGCUCCUGCUGCAUGGUGGGGGUUGGAAAGUUUCGGCUGUUGGGGAUGGACUCGCGGCUUAUCAGCUUGUUGGUGGGGUAGUGGCUUACCAAGGCUUUGACGGGUAGCCGGCCUGAGAGGGUGACCGGCCACAUUGGGACUGAGAUACGGCCCAGACUCCUACGGGAGGCAGCAGUGGGGAAUAUUGCACAAUGGGCGGAAGCCUGAUGCAGCAACGCCGCGUGCGGGAUGACGGCCUUCGGGUUGUAAACCGCUUUCGCCUGUGACGAAGCGUGAGUGACGGUAAUGGGUAAAGAAGCACCGGCUAACUACGUG
This 468-nucleotide ribosomal RNA is filed under the name uncultured bacterium. RNAcentral describes it as "partial 16S ribosomal RNA". It matches the Rfam family "Bacterial small subunit ribosomal RNA", at positions 28 to 507 of the family's 1533-position model. The record is from RNAcentral.